AAGGAAGCCAUGGUUAUUCAUCAUCACCACCAUCAUCUCAUCUUCAUCAUCAUCAUCACCAACUUCAUCUCUAUUUCAUAAUCUUCAUCACCAAACCAAGAUGAGUUCUUAGAUAGAGUUAGCCUUGGGGAGGGGAAGAAUUUCAUGAAGGGAAUUAGGUUGUUAUGAUAUUGUGGUUGUUGAUAAUAACAUGUUGAUGUUGCUUCAUGUUGUUCUUGAUAUUAUGUUAUGUUGUAUGAUUAUUAUCUUGAUUUCA
Molecule: long non-coding RNA, 256 nt
Filed under: Lathyrus oleraceus (garden pea)
Lineage: Eukaryota; Viridiplantae; Streptophyta; Magnoliopsida; Fabales; Fabaceae
Description: Pisum sativum (pea) long non-coding RNA (PSAT_LNC029208)
Source: RNAcentral